Oncorhynchus mykiss (rainbow trout) is the source of this 674-nucleotide non-coding RNA. Lineage: Eukaryota; Metazoa; Chordata; Actinopteri; Salmoniformes; Salmonidae. The record is from RefSeq and is a predicted model, not a curated record.
AUGGAGUAUUGUGUGUAGAUGGGUGGGAAAGAAAUAUUGAAUCCAUUUUGAAUUCAGGAAGUAACGCAACAAAAUAUGGAACAAGCAAUGGGUGCUAAAUGACGUAAAUAGAAUACUCUGUAUUGGGAACAAGUUCUGAUUGAACACUGGGCGGAGACCAACAAGAGGCUAACAAAACAAGAGGCACAGUCCCAUGUCCCAAUUUAGAAGCAAGGCAAUACGUGAAGGCUUGAAAUCCGUCGCGUCUUGUGUAAAUAUUAGCCUUGGCAGGUUCCACAACCCUCAUAUCCCUGGCCUCCCAUUCAUUGGCUGUCAAGAAACCCUCUGCUCAUCUUUCUUCUCCUGCGAUGAACUGAAAGGGAUGUUUCCACCCAAUGGAACUCAAUAGAAUGCCUUUACCGUUGAACGAGUGGAUUACUCAAAUCGAUGGCGCCAACUAAACUGACUUUUUGGGACAUAAAGAAGGAUUUAAUCUAACAAAACGACACUACAUGUUAUAGCUGGGACCCUUUGGAUGACAAAUCAGAGGAAGAUUUUCAAAAAACACAGAGUAGUAGACAUAUGCCUUCCGCACCACAGUAAAGCGCGGGUGGAGGGCCAUGCAGAGGAAGCCUCUCUCAUCCCCCGCCCAGGGCGAGGUGAGCACUGCUUUGGUCAGGUUGAGGAAGGGCCGG